CUGCGAGUUCGCGGGAGAGUAAGUUAUUGCCAGGGUUUUUAUUUUAUACUUUAAACAUUGAUUUUAUUUUUUAUGUUUUUAGAUGUUCAUGUUUUUGAAUGUUUUAUUUAAAUAAUAUAAAAAAUAAAAUAUAUAUUGACAUGGAUUAAACAAAGAUAUAUAUUAUUCUAUGUUCNAUAAACAAAUUGGCAAAAUAGAGAUGGAAGAUAAAAAUAUGGUCAAAGUAAUAAGAGUCUAUGGUGAAUGCCUAGGA
RNAcentral lists this unclassified non-coding RNA (253 nucleotides) under Borreliella garinii. RNAcentral describes it as "partial 5S-23S ribosomal RNA intergenic spacer". Lineage: Bacteria; Pseudomonadati; Spirochaetota; Spirochaetia; Spirochaetales; Borreliaceae. The record is from RNAcentral.